UUUUUUAAUACAUGUUAUUAUGUUUUUAUCUUUACUCUUUAUUAUUAUAGUUUGAUUAACAUAAUGUGUGUGCCUUAAUGAAUUGAAGGGUUUUUAUUAAAUCUUACAGCAUAAAUAUGUACACUAACAAUGUUUGAUAUAUGUCUCAUGUAACCAAGGGUAAAAUCUAAGCCGGUAUAUUAGAGUGCAGGACACGAGGUUCAACAGGAUACCAGAAUGUGUGUGAGAAACAGCUGAUACGGCCUUGGGGCUGGGAGGAAGAGAUAUGAGAAAGUUGGAUGUAGUGUGAUGUUUUUCAGAGUUCUAAGAAAGCAGCCGUUUGGAGGAGAUCACUCGACGUUGCGUCACUGAAUGAUUGGAUAAGAAAGAGGUCCAUCAAACUCAACCCAGCCUUACCAUAGGCCCAGGACGAGAAGCAAGCCUCAAGACACACCUCACACAUACACACAUAAAUAUGUAAACACAACAGGAAACGGGGCUGUUCUUGAUUAUACUCUGUGCGGAGAGUGAGUGAGCAGGACAGCCCAGAUCUGUGAAUCAAACCAAUAAACUUCUAUUAUUGUACCAAA
This is a long non-coding RNA of Triplophysa dalaica, 569 nucleotides long. RefSeq lists it as uncharacterized. The transcript has 2 exons. NCBI's taxonomy places the organism in Eukaryota, Metazoa, Chordata, Actinopteri, Cypriniformes, Nemacheilidae. The record is from RefSeq and is a predicted model, not a curated record.